RNAcentral lists this long non-coding RNA (2791 nucleotides) under Capsicum annuum. RNAcentral's name for it is "long non-coding RNA (CANN_LNC002110)". The record is from RNAcentral. Lineage: Eukaryota; Viridiplantae; Streptophyta; Magnoliopsida; Solanales; Solanaceae.
AGAAAACUCCACUCGACAGAGUCGUUUGCCUUUCUAAUAUCCACCUUUAUCAAGCAUCUAGGUGACACGCCUUUAUUGGAAUAACGCUUUACAAGUUCAUGGCUAAUUAUCACAUUAUCUAAGAUGCUUCUUCCCUCAAUAAACGCAGCGUGGGAUGGUCCCACUAUAUUGUCCACUACUAGCUUCAGCCUCGCAGUUAGAACUUUGGAAAUGAGCUUGUAAAGGGUAGUGCAACAUGUUAUUGGCCGAAACUCUUUCACAAAAGUCGGAUUACAGACCUUGGGAACCAAUGUAACUGUGGUAGCAUUAAUACUCUACAGGAGUUUUCCAUUUUAAAAAUUCAAGUAUAGCUUGUAUUAUCUCAUCACCAAUUAAGUCCCAAUAAUGUUUGAAAAACUCAACUGGGAACCCAUCAAUUCCGGGUGAUUUGUCCAUUGGUAAACUCUGUAGAGCUAUAUUAAUCUCUUCCCUGGUCACAUCUUCAUUCAGUUGCCUUUGUUGUGUCAUGGGUAGACAAUGGCCAUUUCUAGCAAUAUCAACAUCAAUACUCUAGAGCUCAUGUGCGCUGGAACCUAAAAGACCUUUGAAAAACUGUAUAAACUCCUGUUGGUUUACUUUACUAUCUGUUACUGUAACACCUUGAGAGUUGCAAAUAGAAGACACCCUAUUUCUUGCUUGCCUAGCCUUCAUAAAACAUGAUAAUAUUUAGUAUUAGAGUCCCCGAAUGCAAUCCAUGUAGCCCUUGAUUUUUGGCGAAGCACCCUCUCCUGGAUAAGAAGACACUUUUCUCUUUGAGCCAAUGUGACCCCCUCUUCCUCAAUUAAUUGAGGGUUAAAAAGGUCACUGCUCAGUUGCAUCUGAAUAUUCAAUAAUUAUUCCUACAAGCCUUCUAGCUUCCUGUCAAUGUUAUUUACUUCUCUAUUCAUCUUAGUUGCACCUCUCUCUAUUAAUUUCAACUUUCUCCUGACUCUGUACAUAGUAUGCCCAGGUAUGUUUUGCCUCCAAAUCACGUUAACGAGUUCCUGAAAAUUUUAUUGUUGAAGUAAUGUGUUGUAGAGUCUAAAAGGUCUUGGAAUUUCUUGUCUCUGCACUUUAAUUCUUACAAUAAUAGGGGAAUGAUUUGACAUGUCCGAAGUGAGAUAAUGAGCUGUUAAGUUGCUGUAUUUCAAGAACCAGAGAUCAUUGCCAAAAAUCCAAUCUAUAAGACUAUACACCUUGAUAUCAACAUCUUGUUUAUUGCUCCAUGAGAAUCGGCAUCCACUUCUUGGUAGUUGUCCAAGCCUUGUGCCUUCAAUGCAAGAUUAAAAGUUUGCCACCUUAUUUGCUUGCACUGAUUGUCCAUUAAUCCUGUUAUUCACUGACAGAAUAGUAUUAAAAUCUCCUAAAACCACCCACGGUGCAGUAAUUCCAGCUUCAAUAUUUCUCAAUUGCUCCCAUAUACCAGCUCUGCCCUUAAUAAUGUUCAGUCCAUAGACAAAUGUCAUCAAACAUUGAAAUUUUGCACCCAAUUCAGUUAUAACACAAUGGACCAAUUGAGAGUCUGAAUACAAAACAUUUACUUUCGCCUUUUGACGUUUCCAACAUACCCAGAUCCUUCCAUAUGAAACUACUAGAUAGUCAGUAAAUACCUCCCAUUCAUCCCCUAAAUACUUCUUUAUUUUGUCAGCUUUGUGAGCUCUGACUUUAGUUUCUAAACACCCUAUUAAGUCUACUUUAUUUUUAAGCAGAAAGGAUUUGAGCACUUUCUUCUUGUGGGGCUGGUUAAUCCCCCUAACAAUCAAAGAUCAAAAGAUCAUGGGGGUUGUAGGCUGGCUUGAGUUCCCCUCGCAUUGCUCUUUGUGGGCUCCUCCCUCUCCUUAAUCCGGAAGGACUUAAUUAUGUUAGCUUCCAGGUACUUCUCUACAUCUUUUAUUUUUGUUGUAUGCCCAGAGGUGUCUUUAUCACCAUAUGCAACCUGUUGUUUACCUUUUAACUUUAUUCUCUCUUGUUUCUGUAUUGUAAGAGCUUUCACCUCAACAGUUUCAGUUGUGGUCUCUUGAGCUUUAGGUUCCUUAAGAUUUGUAUGCCACUCUUUCUUCCUUUGCUUAAGAGGUACCUUUUUCUUGUCUGGUUUUUGCGGCUUUCCUAAAGGAAUAGUGGAGCAAUUCACAGUAUGAUGAUCUAUUUGUAGGCAAGCUGGACAGUAAUUUGGUUUUCAUUCGCAUUAGAUCAUCUAUGCUUUGCAUUUUCCCUCCGUAUCUUCAAUUUGAAUGGCAUCUGGGAAUGGUAGUGAAGUAUCCAUCUCUAUCAACAUAUGUGCAGACGAGACUCUUUCACCUUGGUCUGUGAGCUUGUCUAUACAAAUAGGCUUCCCCAAGCAACUAGCAAUUUGACCUAGCUAGAUAGUCAGUAAAUACCUCCCAUUCAUCCCCUAAAUACUUCUUUAUUUUGUCAGCUUUGUGAGCUCUGACUUUAGUUUCUAAACACCCUAUUAAGUCUACUUUAUUUUUAAGCAGAAAGGAUUUGAGCACUUUCUUCUUGUGGGGCUGGUUAAUCCCCCUAACAAUCAAAGAUCAAAAGAUCAUGGGGGUUGUAGGCUGGCUUGAGUUCCCCUCGCAUUGCUCUUUGUGGGCUCCUCCCUCUCCUUAAUCCGGAAGGACUUAAUUAUGUUAGCUUCCAGGUACUUCUCUACAUCUUUUAUUUUUGUUGUAUGCCCAGAGGUGUCUUUAUCACCAUAUGCAACCUGUUGUUUACCUUUUAACUUUAUUCUCUCUUGUUUCUGUAUUGUAAGAGCUUUCACCUCAACAGUUUC